This 458-nucleotide ribosomal RNA is filed under the name uncultured bacterium. RNAcentral's name for it is "partial 16S ribosomal RNA". It matches the Rfam family "Bacterial small subunit ribosomal RNA", at positions 338 to 795 of the family's 1533-position model. The record is from RNAcentral.
CCUACGGGUGGCAGCAGUGAGGAAUAUUGGUCAAUGGGCGAGAGCCUGAACCAGCCAAGUCGCGUGAGGGAGUACUGCCCUAUGGGUUGUAAACCUCUUUUGUCGGGGAGCAAAAGCCGGACGUGUUCACCUGUGAGAGUACCCGUAGAAAAAGCAUCGGCAAACUCCGUGUCAGCGCCGGCGGUAACACGGAGGAUGAGAGGGCUAGCCGGAUUUAUUGGGUGUAAAGGGUGAGCAGGCGUAUUUUUAAGUUAGAGUGAAAAGCGUGGGCCUCAACCCGAUCCUGCCGUUGAGACUGGGGAGCUAGAGUGUGCUAGAGGUAUGUGGAAUGCGUGGUGUAGCGGUGAAAUGCAUAGAGAUCACGCAGAACCCCGAUUGCGAAGGCAGCAUACCGGUGCACAACUGACGCUCAGGCACGAAAGCGUGGGUAUCGAACAGGAUUAGAUACCCCUGUAGUC